Molecule: long non-coding RNA, 1168 nt
Filed under: Bos mutus (wild yak)
Lineage: Eukaryota; Metazoa; Chordata; Mammalia; Artiodactyla; Bovidae
Description: lncRNA (ENSBMUG00000004123.1)
Source: RNAcentral
GAUUCAAGACUGGGAUUCGGGGCCCAUAAUGCGCAUGUGGGUUAACAGUGAGUCGCUGGAGGCGGGAAAGUGCCACGUGGCUCGGCAUCCGCGGACGAGGACCACGUCCCAGGAACCCAGAAGCGGGAGCUGCACAGCUCCAACAGCGCGAGCACACAGCCUCGGCAGGCAAUUGACACCUCCGAGAAGGGGAGCGUGGCAGGCUGGGAUGAAUCAUCCGGCCAUCAAAUUUGCUGGCACCCCUCUGAAGGACCCUCCAGGACCUAAAAGGCCAAGGACGCCCCUGCCCGGGAUGGAGCAAGCCCUCGGAGGAGGGGCCCAAGGCAGAAGGGAGCAGACUCAAGGGCUGAGCUUCUCCGGAGGCAGAAGGAGAGGAGUGCGUACAGACGCAGAGCGCCCGCCUCCACCAGCCGCCACUUGUAAAUCUCCCCAGCUUUCUCCAAACACAAGCAUCCCAGUUAUGGCUCCUAAUAAAACCUCACUGUCUGCUCUGGUAAUCACCCUCACUCCCGAGCUGCUCUGGAGGAGAGAGGAAAGGCUGGCUUUGAUCAAACGAGCAGGAGGCUCCUUGGGUUCCUGGGUGGAAAGGGUUAGCAAGCGUGAUGAGGGCAGGGAGGGAGCGGCAGUGGGCCACGAGGCACUGGGCCGGCCGGGAGCUAGGCGCCAACGUACCUGCGUGUAAUCCCCAGGCCGCCCCACCCAGUGGGUGGGCAUUACUCACCCACAGCUACUGCAAGGGGGAAACAAGUGGCUGCCGAGUCUUGGCUGCAGGAGACAACAAAAAGCACUUGUUAUUUCAAUUUCUGCCGCCUACAGGGCGGCCUCAGGCAGGCUCAGGAGCUCUCAGGAAGGGGCAGUCAGGUUGACAGCUGGCACUGCCUCAUCUGAAGGUUUGCGUGGGACUGGAGGAGCCUCUUCCAGGUUCACUCACGAGACUGUUGGCAAGAGGCCCCAGUUCUCCAGCAAGACUGCUAAUGACAAUACGGCAGCUGGCCUGCCCCACCUUCUGAGAGAGACAGGAGCACAGCCAUCUGAGGCACAGCCGCACUGCCUUUUAUAACCUGAUCUCAGGUGAUGUGGCACCCAUUCUGCAGACGCCGUUGGCAACACAGACCCAGCUUGGUCCAGCAUGGGAAGGGCUGCCAAGGAGGGAAACCAGGCGUCUGGG